RNAcentral lists this ribosomal RNA (468 nucleotides) under uncultured bacterium. Its description in RNAcentral is "partial 16S ribosomal RNA". It matches the Rfam family "Bacterial small subunit ribosomal RNA", at positions 28 to 507 of the family's 1533-position model. The record is from RNAcentral.
GAUGAACGCUGGCGGCGUGCUUAACACAUGCAAGUCGAACGGUGAAGGCGGAGCUUGCUCUGCUGGAUCAGUGGCGAACGGGUGAGUAACACGUGAGCAAUCUGCCCCUGACUCUGGGAUAAGCGCUGGAAACGGCGUCUAAUACUGGAUACGAGCUGCGAAGGCAUCUUCAGCAGCUGGAAAGAACUUCGGUCAGGGAUGAGCUCGCGGCCUAUCAGCUUGUUGGUGAGGUAACGGCUCACCAAGGCGUCGACGGGUAGCCGGCCUGAGAGGGUGACCGGCCACACUGGGACUGAGACACGGCCCAGACUCCUACGGGAGGCAGCAGUGGGGAAUAUUGCACAAUGGGCGAAAGCCUGAUGCAGCAACGCCGCGUGAGGGACGACGGCCUUCGGGUUGUAAACCUCUUUUAGCAGGGAAGAAGCGAAAGUGACGGUACCUGCAGAAAAAACGCCGGCUAACUACGUG